RNAcentral lists this ribosomal RNA (449 nucleotides) under uncultured bacterium. RNAcentral describes it as "bacterial SSU rRNA". It matches the Rfam family "Bacterial small subunit ribosomal RNA", at positions 355 to 796 of the family's 1533-position model. The record is from RNAcentral.
UGGGGAAUUUUGGACAAUGGGGGCAACCCUGAUCCAGCCAUGCCGCGUGUGUGAAGAAGGCCUUCGGGUUGUAAAGCACUUUCGGCCGGAACGAAAUCGCGCGGGCUAUUACCCCGCGUGGAUGACGGUACCGGAAGAAGAAGCACCGGCUAACUACGUGCCAGCAGCCGCGGUAAUACGUAGGGUGCGAGCGUUAAUCGGAAUUACUGGGCGUAAAGGGUGCGCAGGCGGUUCUGCAAGUCAGGCGUGAAAUCCCCGGGCUUAACCUGGGAAUGGCGCUUGAAACUACGGGACUGGAGUAUGGCAGAGGGAGGUGGAAUUCCACGUGUAGCGGUGAAAUGCGUAGAGAUGUGGAGGAACACCGAUGGCGAAGGCAGCCUCCUGGGCCAAUACUGACGCUCAUGCACGAAAGCGUGGGGAGCAAACAGGAUUAGAUACCCCCGUAGUCC